RNAcentral lists this ribosomal RNA (572 nucleotides) under uncultured Dyella sp. RNAcentral describes it as "bacterial SSU rRNA". It matches the Rfam family "Bacterial small subunit ribosomal RNA", at positions 329 to 892 of the family's 1533-position model. Lineage: Bacteria; Pseudomonadati; Pseudomonadota; Gammaproteobacteria; Lysobacterales; Rhodanobacteraceae. The record is from RNAcentral.
CAGGUCACUCCUACGGGAGGCAGCAGUGGGGAAUAUUGGACAAUGGGCGCAAGCCUGAUCCAGCAAUGCCGCGUGUGUGAAGAAGGCCUUCGGGUUGUAAAGCACUUUUAUCAGGAGCGAAAUACUACUGGCUAAUAACCGGUGGGGCUGACGGUACCUGAGGAAUAAGCACCGGCUAACUUCGUGCCAGCAGCCGCGGUAAUACGAAGGGUGCAAGCGUUAAUCGGAAUUACUGGGCGUAAAGCGUGCGUAGGCGGUGAGUUAAGUCUGUUGUGAAAUCCCCGGGCUCAACCUGGGAAUGGCAAUGGAUACUGGCUCGCUAGAGUGUGAUAGAGGAUGGUGGAAUUCCCGGUGUAGCGGUGAAAUGCGUAGAGAUCGGGAGGAACAUCAGUGGCGAAGGCGGCCAUCUGGAUCAACACUGACGCUGAGGCACGAAAGCGUGGGGAGCAAACAGGAUUAGAUACCCUGGUAGUCCACGCCCUAAACGAUGCGAACUGGAUGUUGGUCUCAACUCGGAGAUCAGUGUCGAAGCUAACGCGUUAAGUUCGCCGCCUGGGGAGUACGGUCGCAAG